AGGGAAGAUCCACAGUUGAGCAAAUAAUUUCAACACAAUGCAAUGAAUACUACCUAAAGGGGGCUUAUAAACUAAAACAAAUGUUUAUACCAAGGGAGGAUGUAAAAUCCUAAUCUGUCUACAUCUAUUGAGUUCACUCAGAAUAAUUUUAGUAGUUUUCUGCCUUGGUUAAUUAAAAUGUUCAUCUCCGUGUACUCCAAGGAGCAGAUCAGGUGACCUCUUGAAGAACUUUGAAGCUCUAGGAUUCUGUUUUUGCACUCCCCUAGCAACUGAGAAAUCAGGACAUCUUUCUCUACAGGCAAGAAGAGGAAAAUAAUACAUGAGUGACAGAAGAUUGAGUACAGUACCCAGCUUUGCCAAGUAGACCAGCUACUGGAAAAAAGCAAAAACCAGACAAUUUGGAGUAAAGGAAAUGGAAGAAAAGGAAGGUCCUUCAGAGUCAUAAAUGACCAAGAGAGGCAGGGACAAAAAUGGCUAAAAGAGGGACAGCAAUGCACUGGAUCAAAUAACAAGGAUGCCACUGUCAGACUGACUGGAGAUUCUAACAACUUUGGCAGUUACUAGCUGAGUGACCUUGAACAACUUACUGAACCUCUCCAAUCUUGACUCAUCAUGCACGAAAUUGGGAAGGUAACGUCUUUCUUAUCGAUUAUUUUAAAAUUUUAUGAGAUAU
This 673-nucleotide long non-coding RNA is filed under the name Pan paniscus (pygmy chimpanzee). RNAcentral's name for it is "lncRNA (ENSPPAG00000045240.1)". Lineage: Eukaryota; Metazoa; Chordata; Mammalia; Primates; Hominidae. The record is from RNAcentral.